This is a non-coding RNA of Podarcis lilfordi (Lilford's wall lizard), 3123 nucleotides long. Lineage: Eukaryota; Metazoa; Chordata; Lepidosauria; Squamata; Lacertidae. The record is from the annotation of a GenBank genome assembly.
CGAAGAAACCAAGGACGGGGGAACAUGCAGUGCUCUGCAAACAGCACAGCCCAAAUCCUGCCAAUUUUCUUGGAACAUUCCCCUUAAUAAAUCUCCAAAAGAGAGGCUUCUUUGGGUAAAACUAUUAUAUUACUUCCCAGAACGAGAAGAAGAAUUCAUAGUAUUUUGCCAAAGAAUUGCAAGCAGGAAAGGGUGCAGAAUGACAACCAGAUUACUAGGAUCUGAUUGCUAGAACUUGUUUUCCUGCAUUCUGUGACCCCGUAAUGUAAGAAGAGCCAGUGUAAAAAGUCCUCCCACCCCCAACCAAUGCCUACUUGUUUACUGCUCCUUCUUUCUGCACUUGUAACAGAGGUUUGCUAUUCUGUGAUUUCAGGUAUUGAGCCUUCAACUCACCUGUUUUGUGCUCCCAGUUCAAUCCCCAAUGGCAUCUCCAGGAAGGGCUAAGAAAGCCCCCUGCCUGAAACCCUGCAGAGCUGUUAUCAGCCAGUGCUGACAAUACUGACUUAGAUGGACUCGGAUGGUCUGACUCUGUAUAAGGCAGCUUCCUGUUUAAUUCAGCCUUUUAUUCAGAACUAGGAUGGCUAGAAAAGGGACGUGGGUGGCGCUGUGGGUUAAACCACAGAGCCUAAGACUUGCCAAUCAGAAGGUCGGCGGUUCGAAUCCCCGUUACGGGGUAAGCUCCCGUUGCUCGGUCCCAGCUCCUGCCCACCUAGCAGUUCGAAAGCAUGUCAAAGUGCAAGUAGAUAAAUAGGUACCACUCCGGCAGGAAGGUAAAUGGUGUUUCCGUGUGCUGCUCUGGUUCGCCAGAAGCGGCUUAGUCAUGCUGACCACAUAACCUGGAAGCUGUCUGCGGACAAACGCCGGCUCCCUCGGCCUAUAGAGCGAGAUGAGCGCGCAACCCGAGUCGGUCACGACUGGACCUAAUGGUCAGGGGUCCCUUUACCUUUACCUUUAGGAUGGCUAGAAUCUUACUUUGCAUUUAAUGAGAGGACCACAGCUUGGUUGUAAAGCUUCUGUCUUGCACGCCGAAGGUCCAGGUUCAACCACCCCUGACAUCUCCAGGACAGUGCUGACAGUGUCACCCAGGACCAGCCAAUGUGAUGCCCUUUAGAUCUUUUUGGACUCCCAACUCCUGUCAGUCCCAGCCAGGGCCCUAUGUUGGCUUCUCUCUGCCAUAGCCAAUACUGAGAUUGUUGGGCCCCUGAUCUUAAGGCUACUCUCACAGCAUACAUUUAGUGCACUGGGGGUGGCGCUGUGGGUUAAACCACAGAGCCUAGGACUUGCAGAUCAGAAGGUCGGCGGUUCAAAUCCCCGCAACUGCUCCUGCCAACCUAGCAGUUCGAAAGCACGUCAAAGUGCAAGUAGAUAAAUAGGUACCAUUCCGGCGGGAAGGUAAACGGCAUUUCCAUGUGCUGCUCUGGUUCGCCAGAAGCGGCUUAGUCAUGCUGGCCACAUGACACGGAAGCUGUACGCCAGCUCCCUCGGCCAGUAAAGCGAGAUGAGCGCCGCAACCCCAGAGUCUGUCACGACUGGACCUAAUGUUCAGGGGUCCCUUUACCUUUAAUAUCCCUUUAAACAGUCAUGGCUUCCCCAGAGGGAGCUAAAAUUACCAGAGCAGUCUAACAAUCGUUCUUCCCAGGGAACUCUAGGAAUUGUAGCUCUGGCUGGAGACUAGGAGAUCUCUUAAUAAUUUUCAGCACCUUAAUGAGCUAUAGCUCCCAGAAUCCCUUGGGGGAAGCCACAAUUGUGUAUGGUGGAACAGUAGCUGCUGGGGCCCAACUUUGAAUGCAGCAGUAAAAUGCUGCCGUAGCAUCAUCCUGAAGGCUUAGCUUUCACAGCCUAGAUACUUUUAAAGGUUACGCCGAACGAGAGGCAAUAAUAGCCUUGGCCAGCAGAGUGCAAAGAAACCUCAUUUAACUCUAUAGGAUCUGGCUUUCACAUGUGGUAGAGGGCUGUGCUUAUCUGCAUUUUUGGGAAAUCGUAUUGAUAAAAUGGAGGAAACAACCCAGUGCAGGGAUUCUUUGUCAGUUGAUUCUCCUUAAAGUGGAUUGACAGGCCAGCAAACGGGUCUCCUUUUUAACACAGGGAUACGCAAAGCAGAACGAACACAAAGUGGAGUUUGGAAAGUUCCAUCUACCUGUAAAGGUAAUGAAGUAUUAAAUAUUGUUAACUGCAUUUGCCAGUCGCCUCAGGCAAAUCUAUCUAUAAUUCAAAUUGUAGGUAUUCUUCAUAGACACAGCAUAGGCCACCUGAAUGAAGCUCACAGGCAAGUUUGGGAACCCUUGUUCUAACCAACCAUGUUCGUGGCAGCAGUGACUAAGCUCAUACCAUGGCCUGCCCCUGCUUGAACACUGAUAGCACACUGCAAUAUAGAUAUGCAUUCCUUGACAGAUACCUUUUGUGCAGAGAGCUAGAAACUACCUUAAUCCCCUUUAAUAACAAUAAUAAAAUAAUAACACUGCAGGUGUUUCUGUAGCCAGAAAGUCGUUCUUGAAAAGUCCACACAUUAGUCACUGGGGAUGUUGAUAGGAUAAGGCUGUCAGUGCCACCAUCAGAGGCAGCAUUGCCCCUGAAUACCAGUUCCUGGGAAUCACAAGUGGGGAGAGUGUUGCUGCCAGGGCUCAGGUCAUGCUUGGAGCAUCUGGUUGGCCACUGUGAGAACAUGAUGCUGGACUGGAUGGGCUCCUCUUGGCCUGAUUCAGUAGGAUUCUUCCAGCUGGUGUGCGUGUGUAUUAAACAAACAUAUAAAAAGAGAGUCUUCCAUAAGGUUUCCAUGUAGCUUUAUUUAGACAUUGACAAUACCUGGUUAACAUUGGUUGGGUUUGGUUAUUUGAUUUUGAUUUUUCUGUGUGUGUCCUCAGCAUUGCUAAAUUGUGUGCAGGUCUUUUUCCUAUGACUUCAGACGCAGACAGGAAGCUAGCAGUAUAUUUUAUUCUUUCUCUUCACUGCCAGAAACAUCCAAGGAGGGGAGAUUUUCGAACGUGCAUACACACGAACAUUUGUCUGAAACCAACACCAUCCUGGCAUCUCAGUAAAAAGCAAAACAACUGUCUGAAAUAAAUGACGGUACGUUAAGAUUUGCAGUACCUGUUUUGCAAUAGAUCACUAGCUGUUAAAUGGUUU